ACGGGAGGCAGCAGUGGGGGAUAUUGCACAAUGGGGGAAACCCUGAUGCAGCGACGCCGCGUGAGUGAAGAAGUAUUUCGGUAUGUAAAGCUCUAUCAGCAGGAAAGAUAAUGACGGUACCUGACUAAGAAGCACCGGCUAAAUACGUGCCAGCAGCCGCGGUAAUACGUAUGGUGCAAGCGUUAUCCGGAUUUACUGGGUGUAAAGGGAGCGUAGACGGCAUGGCAAGCCAGAUGUGAAAGGCAGGGGCUCAACUCCUGGACUGCAUUUGGAACUGUCAAGCUAGAGUAUCGGAGAGGUAAGUGGAAUUCCUAGUGUAGCGGUGAAAUGCGUAGAUAUUAGGAGGAACACCAGUGGCGAAGGCGGCUUGCUGGACGAUAACUGACGUUGAGGCUCGAAAGCGUGGGGAGCAAACAGGAUUAGAUACCCUGGUA
This 434-nucleotide ribosomal RNA is filed under the name uncultured Lachnospiraceae bacterium. Its description in RNAcentral is "partial 16S ribosomal RNA". It matches the Rfam family "Bacterial small subunit ribosomal RNA", at positions 341 to 792 of the family's 1533-position model. The record is from RNAcentral. Lineage: Bacteria; Bacillati; Bacillota; Clostridia; Lachnospirales; Lachnospiraceae.